RNAcentral lists this transfer RNA (72 nucleotides) under Candida viswanathii. RNAcentral's name for it is "tRNA-Gln". Lineage: Eukaryota; Fungi; Ascomycota; Pichiomycetes; Serinales; Debaryomycetaceae. The record is from RNAcentral.
UGAAUCAUUGACUAAUCGGCAAGUCCUCUAGAUUUGGUCUAGAUUAUAUACGUUCGAAUCGUAUUGAUUCAG